RNAcentral lists this long non-coding RNA (329 nucleotides) under Salvia miltiorrhiza (redroot sage). RNAcentral describes it as "long non-coding RNA (SMIL_LNC011465)". The record is from RNAcentral. Lineage: Eukaryota; Viridiplantae; Streptophyta; Magnoliopsida; Lamiales; Lamiaceae.
CUUAUGUAAUUGUGGAUAGCCAUAGUUGCUAACUACAAUUUCUCUUUGGGUGUCAAUAUGAAAAUAAGGCAUGUCAGCCAAAAUAUUCCAUCUUGCUUUCCAAACUCCAAAAGUUCGUUCAACACAAUUUCUACACGAAGAGUGGUAAUAAUUGAACCUUUCCUUUAAGUUUCUCGGUUGACGUAAUUGCUUUGUCCUAGCCCGACGAAAAUCAUCAAGAUGAUAUCUUAUAUUCUCACCUCUAUAAGGACCCAUAUAUCCCGGCAUAUGUGUAUAUCCAGCAUCAACCAAGUAAUAUUUUUCUCCUUUUGGAAUAGGAAAAUUAAGUU